This 944-nucleotide ribosomal RNA is filed under the name Propioniciclava sp. Its description in RNAcentral is "bacterial SSU rRNA". It matches the Rfam family "Bacterial small subunit ribosomal RNA", at positions 71 to 1041 of the family's 1533-position model. The record is from RNAcentral. Lineage: Bacteria; Bacillati; Actinomycetota; Actinomycetes; Propionibacteriales; Propionibacteriaceae.
AUCNGCUCUUCGGAGUGGUGAUUAGUGGCGAACGGGUGAGUAACACGUGAGUAACCUGCCCUCCACUUUGGGAUAACUGUGGGAAACUUCAGCUAAUACCGGAUAUUGAAUACUGCUCGCAUGGGUGGUGUUUGAAAGAUUUUUUGGUGGGGGAUGGACUCGCGGCCUAUCAGCUUGUUGGUGGGGUAAUGGCCUACCAAGGCGAUGACGGGUAGCCGGCCUGAGAGGGCGACCGGCCACACUGGGACUGAGAUACGGCCCAGACUCCUACGGGAGGCAGCAGUGGGGAAUAUUGCACAAUGGGCGAAAGCCUGAUGCAGCAACGCCGCGUGCGGGAUGACGGCCUUCGGGUUGUAAACCGCUUUCACCAGGGGCGAAUUUGACGGUACCUGGAGAAGAAGCACCGGCUAACUACGUGCCAGCAGCCGCGGUGAUACGUAGGGUGCGAGCGUUGUCCGGAUUUAUUGGGCGUAAAGAGCUCGUAGGUGGUUUGUUGCGUCGGAAGUGAAAACACAGGGCUUAACUCUGUGCUUGCUUUCGAUACGGGCAGACUUGAGGAAGGUAGGGGAGAACGGAAUUCCUGGUGGAGCGGUGGAAUGCGCAGAUAUCAGGAGGAACACCAGUGGCGAAGGCGGUUCUCUGGACCUUUCCUGACGCUGAGGAGCGAAAGCGUGGGGAGCAAACAGGCUUASAUACCCUGGUAGUCCACGCCGUAAACGGUGGGCACUAGGUGUGGGGGACAUUCCACGUUCUCCGUGCCGUAGCUAACGCAUUAAGUGCCCCGCCUGGGGAGUACGGCCGCAAGGCUAAAACUCAAAGGAAUUGACGGGGGCCCGCACAAGCGGCGGAGCNGCGGAUUAUUCGAUGCAANCGAAGACCUUACCUGGGAUUGACAUCUGCCGGAGACAUCAGAGAUGGUGUGCCUUUUGGUCGCUGACAGGGGG